This 20-nucleotide microRNA is filed under the name Schistosoma mansoni. RNAcentral describes it as "sma-miR-8447-5p". Lineage: Eukaryota; Metazoa; Platyhelminthes; Trematoda; Strigeidida; Schistosomatidae. The record is from miRBase by way of RNAcentral.
CAAUAUGAUGAACACUAUCA